This 451-nucleotide ribosomal RNA is filed under the name uncultured bacterium. RNAcentral's name for it is "partial 16S ribosomal RNA". It matches the Rfam family "Bacterial small subunit ribosomal RNA", at positions 28 to 507 of the family's 1533-position model. The record is from RNAcentral.
GAUGAAUGCUGGCGGCGUGCCUAACACAUGCAAGUCGAGCGGCAGCGAGGGGUGCUUGCACCCUGUCGGCGAGCGGCGAACGGCUGAGUAACGCGUAGGAAUUUGCCCCAAAGUGAGGAAUAACUGCCCGAAAGGGUAGCUAAUGCCGCAUAUGGUCUUCGGAUUAAAGGAUUUAUCCGCUUUGGGAGAAGCCUGCGUUGGAUUAGGUUGUUGGUAGGGUAAUGGCCUACCAAGCCGACGAUCCAUAGCUGGUCUGAGAGGAUGAUCAGCCAGACUGGAACUGAGACACGGUCCAGACUCCUACGGGAGGCAGCAGUGAGGAAUCUUCCACAAUGGGCGAAAGCCUGAUGGAGCAACGCCGCGUGAAGGAUGAAGGCCUUCGGGUUGUAAACUUCUUUUAUGAGCGAAGAAUAUGACGGUAACUCAUGAAUAAGCACCGGCUAACUACGUG